GAUGAACGCUAGCUGGAGGCUUAAUACAUGCAAGUCGAGCGGGAUUGGGUAGCAAUACCCCAUGAGAGCGGCGCACGGGUGAGUAACGCGUACACGACCUACCUCUGACAGGGGGAUAGCCCUGGGAAACUGGGAUUAAUACCGCAUAUUAUUCAGGAGAAUAAAGGUCCUGAAUGAAAGCUGAGGCGGUCAGAGAUGGGUGUGCGUCUGAUUAGCUAGUUGGUAGGGUAACGGCCUACCAAGGCGAUGAUCAGUAGGGGCGUGAGAGNGUGGUCCCCCACACGGGUACUGAGACACGGACCCGACUCCUACGGGAGGCAGCAGUAAGGAAUAUUGGUCAAUGGGCGAAAGCCUGAACCAGCCAUCCAGCGUGCAGGAAGAAGGCCCUAUGGGUUGUAAACUGCUUUUAUCAGGGAAGAAACCCUUGGAUUGACUCCGAGGCUGACGGUACCUGAAGAAUAAGCACCGGCUAACUCCGUGCCAGCAGCCGCGGUAAUACGGAGGGUGCGAGCGUUAUCCGGAAUUACUGGGUUUAAAAGGGUGCGUAGGCGGCUUGGUAAGUCAGGAGUGAAAAG
RNAcentral lists this ribosomal RNA (575 nucleotides) under uncultured bacterium. RNAcentral's name for it is "bacterial SSU rRNA". It matches the Rfam family "Bacterial small subunit ribosomal RNA", at positions 28 to 601 of the family's 1533-position model. The record is from RNAcentral.